UGGCGGACGGGUGAGUAACGCGUGGGUAACCUGCCUCAUACAGGGGGAUAACAGUUGGAAACGGCUGCUAAUACCGCAUAAGCGCACAGUACCGCAUGGUACGGUGUGAAAAACUCCGGUGGUAUGAGAUGGACCCGCGUCUGAUUAGGUAGUUGGUGGGGUAACGGCCUACCAAGCCGACGAUCAAUAGCCGACCUGAGAGGGUGACCGGCCACAUUGGGACUGAGACACGGCCCAA
Molecule: ribosomal RNA, 238 nt
Filed under: uncultured bacterium
Lineage: Bacteria
Description: partial 16S ribosomal RNA
Rfam family: Bacterial small subunit ribosomal RNA
Source: RNAcentral